RNAcentral lists this long non-coding RNA (3095 nucleotides) under Homo sapiens (human). RNAcentral describes it as "PREDICTED lncRNA (TCONS_00231814)". The record is from RNAcentral. Lineage: Eukaryota; Metazoa; Chordata; Mammalia; Primates; Hominidae.
CGGGGCGCAAGAGCGGAGCUGCGCGAGCCGCUGCGGAGGGAAGGGCUCCUAGCCAAUUGGGGUCUUUGAGGCGAAUGCGAGGCUGGGGCCGGUUGCCUACCGGCCGCUUCUCGCCGAGGCAGUCCAGACUUUUCCCCCGGCGGUGCCCGCUCCAAGACAGCAUCUGUCAACGCUCCUCUUCUCCCCUCCUCCUCCUGCCGGGCCGGGCUCCGCCGGCUGCGGCCGAGAGGACGCGGGACCCGGCGCGGUGAGCCCAUCAGCUGUCAGGCGAGCGGCGAAGCGGCUGGAGGGCGGCGAGAGACACACAAAGAACGCGGUGGGCGGCGGCGGCGAAAGGGGACGGCAACUCCUCCCCGCGCCCGCCGGUGCCACCGCCGGCCGUGCUUGUUCCGAGGCCGCGCAGACAAUGCGGCCGGGCUCGUCCCCGCGUGCCCCAGAGUGCGGAGCGCCCGCGCUCCCCCGACCCCAACUUGACCGUCUCCCGGCUCGCCCAGCCCCCUCCCGGGGUAGGGGCGCCCCCUCCCUCCGGUGGCCGGCGAAGGAAGUCGGUCCGCGGCCGCAGAUCCCGGCAACUUGCGAACCGGGAAAAGUUUGCGGCGCCUCCGCGGGGCGGCGCGACGCGGCCCGCCCCUCGCGUCCGCGGUCAUCGCGGGUGACUUUCUCGACUCGUCGUCAGCCGGGGCCGCAGCGCGGCCGGUGGGGACUGCGGGGCGGGCCGGAGUCCGUCCGAGGGCUCCCGCACCUCGGGCUGCGGGAACAUUAAAAUCUCCCCAGAUGCUCACUGCUCUGAUCAUUUCCCCUACAGCACCAGACAUGUUGGCAUCAUCUCUUAGUUGGGCCAUGUGGCCAGGGAACCCUUCAUGAAACCACCUCUGCAGUCCUGGAGAGUUGCUGUAGAAGAAGGAAAAGAGAGGAAGACAACACAACACAGGAGGGGAUAAGUACCUCUGGACACAAUGGAAGUAGUAGUUGUUGAGCAGAGGGAAAGGGAUAGGAGAAGGAUGUGGACUGCAGUGCUGCAGUGCCAGGUAAUAACUUUGAUCAUGUACCUCCUUGGCUCAGGUGCUGUCUCUUCUACUCUCCUCCUUACUUGUACUACCUUAUUUAGCACUUAAUUAUAUACUUUCUUGACUCACUUUGAGACACACUGAUUAUGUGGUCUGCCUCAAAGACAGAAUCCUAGUUUUGGAUUUUAGCAUUACUGAUCUAUAGCCUUGCAGGGGCUUAAGGAUGGCAGCUGUCUCUCUCCCUUGGGAUCUAGCUUUUGCAAAUAUUGAAGGGAAGAGAUUUCUUUGAUCUUAUAGGAAUAGAUCCACAGUUCCUCUCCAGAUUUGCUUUUAUAGAGAAGUGUGUGUCACCAAAACAAUGGAGAUACGGUCAGAGAGGCCCCUACCCCCAGAAUUUUAAUAUAAUUUUACUUUCUGGGGCAUUUAUUCUUGACAAAUACUUUCUCUCCUAUCAGCUCACUUGUUCCUCACAAAAACCCUAUAAGAUAUUAAUAUUAUUAAACAGACCCCUAUGAAGCACCUCAAGUCUUUCUCUCUUCCCACUUCCAUUCUUGCACACCUUUUGCUAGACUAGUCUCUGCGUUCAUCACAUCAGGUUUCUAAAAUAAAAGUCCCCUAAUAACUUUCUAUUUGUUCUCUCAUCAUAUUGAACCUUUUUUGCCUGGCUUAUAAGGUGGCCUUAAAACCCCAUUUUCCUCUAAACAUUGUCUCUGUAGUUCAGGAAUAUGGCAGGCUCAACACUAUGCUUGAGCCCAUAUUGCUUCCCUCAUUAGUGAUGCCUCCUCUCAGACCACCCAGAUUCUACUCAUUCUUCAAUUUCCAGCUUCUCCUUGGAGCCUUCCCAGAUCAUUAGCUUCUUAAAAAUCCCAGCUUUCUCUGAAUUCUGAUGGUAGCCCCCGUUAUUUGGACAAUUAUGUCCUGGUCUUAAAGUCCUAAUGGGAAAAAAAAGUACAUGAUGGACUUCAUGUAGAGAAGAAAGCACUGGACUGAGUUUUAAGACAGCUGCUAAGGAGCUGUGUGAGCCAAACCAGGUUACUUUACCUCUCUGGAUCUAUAUUUGCUGAUCUGUUAAGUGGAGACAAUUGGGUCAGAUAAUCUUGGUGGUCUUUGCUUAUUCUGAGGUUCUUGGACAACUUGGCCUAGUUCACGUGGGAUGGGAUUGAAGAUCUUACUGAGUUCUUGGAUGGAAAUGUCAGUAAUGGGCACUUAGUGCCUUCAGGACUUGUUCUAUACUAUCCCAGAAAUUUCUGAUGCUAAACUUGGCAAUUUUUAAAUGUCAUAUUCCUUUUCUCCAAACUCUUUAACCACAAGAAUUCAGGGAAGGUUAUGGGGGGUGACUUAGUUAUCUGGAUAAUACAUAUUGUGGACAAUAUAGCAUUAUCCUUGGGAAUGAUUUCAUAUUGUUGAAUAAAUAGGAUCAACUUCUUGAUAAACCUUAGUCCCAAGCAUUUCAUCUUCAUUGGAUAGUGUUACAUAGUAAUAUAUUUAUGUUUUCUUUUAAUCAUUUCAUAACUUGGAAAAUACUAACAUAGUCAAAACUCUAGGGUAGGUGAUACAUGAGUUUCUGUAGUAAUCUGGUUGGAGACAUGUUGUAAUUCUGUAUAUAUAUGUACAUUUAUCCCAUGCAUGUUAUGCCUAAACUAAGACGGAUACCCCUGAAUUAAGAGGUGCUGUUAUACAUUGACCAGGCUUAAGAAUAUCUCUUUAAAGUGUGUCGACAUUUAAUUGACCUUUGGAAGUUCAUUCUGUUAAUCAUACUCAAAGUGCUAAAGCUAUGGUUGACUGCUCUGGUGUUUUUAUAUUCAUUCGUGCUUUAGCAUAUAAAUUCUUCAGCAUAAUUGCUACUUAUUUAGCAAGAGUUUCCUUUAUUUGAAAAUGUGAGUUGUGCUUGUAUUUUUGUGUCUUUCUUUCUUUCUUUCUUUUUUUAAACUUUGCUUCAGGCUGGGUAGUGGUAGAGGUUUGAAUUAAAAUGUUUUCCUGUCAGUAGUUGUAUGAGGUGUGGCUUCUUAAUCUAGAAGUAAUGGAAAUUUCUUGCUUAAAUGAAGUGCACUUUUCUUCCUGCAGAAGUUAGAACUCUUUUAGACAAGC